RNAcentral lists this non-coding RNA (258 nucleotides) under Clostridiales bacterium. RNAcentral's name for it is "T-box sequence". It matches the Rfam family "T-box leader". From Rfam's summary of the family: Uncharged tRNA acts as the effector for transcription antitermination of genes in the T-box leader family. T-boxes are found upstream of many aminoacyl-tRNA synthetase genes and some amino acid biosynthetic genes usually in Gram-positive bacteria. The record is from RNAcentral. Lineage: Bacteria; Bacillati; Bacillota; Clostridia; Eubacteriales.
AAACUGGCUACGAAGAGAAGAGUAUUCAGAAGAGACAUUUUACAGAGAACUCCGGUUGCUGAGAAGGAGAAAUGAUCAUUUUGAAGAAAAAAGCCUCUGAGCUUUGCAAGGAAUCUAUCGUUUAAUUACAGAUAGAAGAUGCUGCAACGGUUGCCCCCGUUAUCAGGAUAGAGUAUAACCAUUUAUGGCGUACUUGAAAAAGGUCGUUUCUAACGACAAAUUGAGGUGGUACCACGAAGUUUAACUCUCGUCCUCAAG